Molecule: long non-coding RNA, 276 nt
Organism: Leptidea sinapis
Lineage: Eukaryota; Metazoa; Arthropoda; Insecta; Lepidoptera; Pieridae
Exons: 3
Source: RefSeq, a predicted model, not a curated record
CAGAUUUUGGCGAGACAACACGUCCGUGUCGAAUUGUUUUAAAACUAAUAUUGGCGGAAUUAACACUAAAGAAAACUUAAAUCAUUUGUAUACCAAUAGGUAGCAUAUAUAAAUAAUAAUAUUUUAUUCAGAUUAAAGAUUUUGCAUCUCGGGAUUUGGAUCAAGAUGUCGUCAUUAAAUUAAACUUUGUGGACUCAAGAACACCUGUAACACCGGAACCAUGCGAUAUAUUGUUCUGUCCCGUGCAAACAGAUGCAAUCACCUCUUUCACCAGUG